Molecule: ribosomal RNA, 460 nt
Filed under: uncultured bacterium
Lineage: Bacteria
Description: partial 16S ribosomal RNA
Rfam family: Bacterial small subunit ribosomal RNA
Source: RNAcentral
CCUACGGGAGGCAGCAGUGAGGAAUAUUGGUCAAUGGGCUUACGCCUGAACCAGCCAAGUCGCGUGAGGGAAGACUGCCCUAUGGGUUGUAAACCUCUUUUGUCAGGGAGCAACGCCGGCUACGUGUAGCCGGACUGAGAGUACCUGAAGAAAAAGCAUCGGCUAACUCCGUGCCAGCAGCCGCGGUAAUACGGAGGAUGCGAGCGUUAUCCGGUUUUAUUGGGUUUAAAGGGUGCGUAGGUGGAUUGUGAAGUCAGUGGUAAAAUUUUGCGGCUCAACCGUAAAAUUCAAUUUAAAAUGGAGAGCUAGAGAACAGACGAGGUAGGCGGAAUAAGUGAAGUAGCGGGGAAAUGCAUAGAUAUAACGUAGAACACCGAGUGCGAGGGCAGCUUACCAGACUGAGUCUGACGCUGAUGCACGAGAGUAUGGGUAGCGAACAGGAUUAGAUACCCCAGUAGUC